This 253-nucleotide ribosomal RNA is filed under the name uncultured bacterium. RNAcentral's name for it is "partial 16S ribosomal RNA". It matches the Rfam family "Bacterial small subunit ribosomal RNA", at positions 524 to 776 of the family's 1533-position model. The record is from RNAcentral.
GACAGAGGUGCCAAGCGUUAGGCGGAAUCACUGGGCUUAAAGCGUGUGUAGGCGGAAUUGUAAGUACCUUGUGAAAUCCCACGGCUCAACCGUGGAACUGCUCGGUAUACUGCUUUUCUUGAGCCACUUAGGGGCUGUCGGAACAAACGGUGGAGCGGUGAAAUGCGUAGAUAUCGGGAGGAACACCUGUGGCGAAAGCGGCGCACUGGACCACAACUGACGCUGAGGCGCGAAAGCUAGGGGAGCAAACAGG